UACAGAGACUGCGAGCGUUAUUCGGAUUCACUGGGCGUAAAGGGUGCGCAGGUGGCUAAGUGUGUUAGGCGUGAAAGCCCGGGGCUUAACCCCGGAAUUGCACCUAAAACUACUUGGCUAGAGCAUUGGAGAGGGGAGCAGAAUUCAUGGUGUAGCAGUGAAAUGCGUAGAUAUCAUGAGGAAUACCAGAGGCGAAGGCGGCUCCCUGGACAAUUGCUGACACUCAGGCACGAAAGCGUGGGGAGCAAAAGGG
Molecule: ribosomal RNA, 253 nt
Filed under: uncultured bacterium
Lineage: Bacteria
Description: partial 16S ribosomal RNA
Rfam family: Bacterial small subunit ribosomal RNA
Source: RNAcentral